Molecule: ribosomal RNA, 790 nt
Filed under: uncultured archaeon
Lineage: Archaea
Description: bacterial SSU rRNA
Rfam family: Archaeal small subunit ribosomal RNA
Source: RNAcentral
ACGGCUCAGUAACACGUCGAUAAUCUACCCUUAGGUCUGGGAUAACCUCGGGAAACUGAGGGUAAAACCGGAUAGGGAAAUUCAACUGGAAAGUGAAUUUCCUCAAAAGUAAUGCCUAAGGACGAGUCGGCGGCGGAUUAGGUUGUUGGCGAGGUAAUGGCUCACCAAGCCGAAGAUCCGUAGGGGCCUUGAGAGAGGUAGCCCCGAGAAGGGCACUGAGAUACUGGCCCUAGCUCCACGGAGUGCAGCAGGCGCGAAAACUUUACAAUGCACGAAAGUGUGAUAAGGGAACCCCAAGUGAUGAUGUAAAACAUCAUCUUUUGCUCAGAGCAAAAAUCUUAGCGAAUAAGUGGUGGGCAAUACCUGUGCCAGCCGCCGCGGUAACCCAGGAGCCACAAGUGGCAACCACCUUUAUUGGGCCUAAAGCGUCCGUAGCCGGUUUUGUAAAUUUUCUGUGAAAUCGUUGCGCUUAACGUAACGGCGUGCAGAAAACACUGCAAGACUCGGGACCGGGAGGAGUCAGAGGUAUUUUGGGGGGAGCGGUAAAAUGCUAUAAUCCCCGAAGGACCACCUGUGGCGAAGGCGUCUGACUAGAACGGAUUCGACGGUGAGGGACGAAAGCUAGGGGAUCAAUCCGGAUUAGAUACCCGAGUAGUCCUAGCUGUAAACUCUGCGAGCUAGGUGUUACGCAAUCUUAGGGAUUGCGUGGUGUCGUAGCGAAGGUGAUAAGCUCGCCGCCUGGGGAGUACGGUCGCAAGGCUGAAACUUAAAGGAAUUGGCGGGGGAGCAC